GGAUGGGUCAAAAACAAUAUACAUUUCAUGGGGUAUAAUGAAAAGAAAAUGGCAUACAAGUCCUAAAUUCCUUUUUCUAAUUGUAGAACAUCAAUAUCUAAAUUUAUAUUUUUAUUUGCAUGAUCUUGACAGAUUCUUUGAGACUCAAUCUAAAUGCCAAUUUUAUUUCCGCUACUGAAAAUAAUUAGAAGUAAAAACCAGACAUUGGCAUUUGUAAGUUUAAGACUAUAAUUAUUACUAAAGAUAAAACAGAUCAAUAAAAGUAUGUAAGUGGUUUAAAAAAUUGCACCAUUUUGACAAAUAAAUAAGUUUAUUCUGAAGUCUAAUAUUUUAUCAAAGUUUCUUCAGGGUUUACAUCUCUCUGUAAACCUAGGGUAUAGUACCACAUCUCUUAUAUGGUCUAUUUUGAGCAACCAACAAAUAAAUCUCUCCAAUCCUAGUCCAUAACCACCAUGAGGACAGGUUCCAUACUUUCUCUGAAAUAAAACAAAUCCUGUACUUUAGAAGCUGUUGAAAUAAAACCAGACACAAUUGUAAACAGAUUUGUGCAAAGUUAUCAACUUGUGCUAUGUUUUAAGUGCUUAAUCAUUUUAAUAUGCUUUUAACUUUUAUAUGUCUUCUAU
RNAcentral lists this long non-coding RNA (623 nucleotides) under Mytilus galloprovincialis (Mediterranean mussel). The record is from RNAcentral. Lineage: Eukaryota; Metazoa; Mollusca; Bivalvia; Mytilida; Mytilidae.